RNAcentral lists this ribosomal RNA (743 nucleotides) under Alternaria longipes. RNAcentral's name for it is "SSU rRNA". It matches the Rfam family "Eukaryotic small subunit ribosomal RNA", at positions 302 to 1050 of the family's 1831-position model. Lineage: Eukaryota; Fungi; Ascomycota; Dothideomycetes; Pleosporales; Pleosporaceae. The record is from RNAcentral.
AAUUUCUGCCCUAUCAACUUUCGAUGGUAAGGUAUUGGCUUACCAUGGUUUCAACGGGUAACGGGGAAUUAGGGUUCGAUUCCGGAGAGGGAGCCUGAGAAACGGCUACCACAUCCAAGGAAGGCAGCAGGCGCGCAAAUUACCCAAUCCCGACACGGGGAGGUAGUGACAAUAAAUACUGAUACAGGGCUCUUUUGGGUCUUGUAAUUGGAAUGAGUACAAUUUAAACCUCUUAACGAGGAACAAUUGGAGGGCAAGUCUGGUGCCAGCAGCCGCGGUAAUUCCAGCUCCAAUAGCGUAUAUUAAAGUUGUUGCAGUUAAAAAGCUCGUAGUUGAAACUUGGGCCUGGCUGGCGGGUCCGCCUCACCGCGUGCACUCGUCCGGCCGGGCCUUCCUUCUGAAGAACCUCAUGCCCUUCACUGGGCGUGCUGGGGAAUCAGGACUUUUACUUUGAAAAAAUUAGAGUGUUCAAAGCAGGCCUUUGCUCGAAUACGUUAGCAUGGAAUAAUAAAAUAGGGCGUGCGUUUCUAUUUUGUUGGUUUCUAGAGACGCCGCAAUGAUUAACAGGAACAGUCGGGGGCAUCAGUAUUCAGUUGUCAGAGGUGAAAUUCUUGGAUUUACUGAAGACUAACUACUGCGAAAGCAUUUGCCAAGGAUGUUUUCAUUAAUCAGUGAACGAAAGUUAGGGGAUCGAAGACGAUCAGAUACCGUCGUAGUCUUAACCGUAAACUAUGCCGACUAGG